GGGCUACCCAAAGCCCGAGGCAACACAGGCUGGCCUUGCUCUCACACAGGAACCCUGCAAAGGCCACCAAACCUCGCCAAGGCACAAGGCCCCACCCAGGGCCAGGAUGCUGGAGAGGAAGGGCACAGACUCUGAUGAAUGGGACUCGGGACUCGGAGACCCCGUUUCUUUCUCUGCCUAAACAAGGGAGGCCCCAAGUUUACACUGUAGCCCGGCGGACCUGCUGACAGACACCAGCUCAGGAGACACAGAAUGGCUCCCUGUCCCUUGCGCAGAGCCCUCCCGGGAACGCCAAAAGGAAGCAGGGCACGCCUGCAGGAAGCUCCUACUGGCUCAAGUCUGGACUUUAAGUGCUUCCAUAAGGAUAACAACUGCCAGGAAUGGAACUUCAAGAGAUUAUUUUGGCAAGUCUUGAGUUCCCGAUGCUCUUUCAUUGCAAAGUAACUCCUGGAUCACGGCUGGUUUUGUUUGUGGUCGGUUUCCUGGUGGUUUUGGAGGCUGAGGAUGAUCUCCACCCCUGGGGAAUUCAGGGGAAGCGUGGACCCUGAACCUCGUACUCUGUCCUGCUACCUUGGACGUGCCCUUCACCAAAGGGCAGCCAUGGCACGAGGACCCUUAGGACACCAGGGACACAGCUAAGAACUGGAAGCGAAAGGAAACGAGGGAAGCAGUAUGUCCUCACCUCCACCACCACUGCCAAGGCACUGCCAAAGCUGUCCUGGACCUAGGGCACGGAGGGGUGCUUCGCUGGGACUUGGCGGCCUUCCAGGACUGACCAGGAGACACAAGGUGCCUAGAGACCAGGGACACA
RNAcentral lists this long non-coding RNA (811 nucleotides) under Sus scrofa (pig). RNAcentral's name for it is "lncRNA (ENSSSCG00070006343.1)". The record is from RNAcentral. Lineage: Eukaryota; Metazoa; Chordata; Mammalia; Artiodactyla; Suidae.